GACGAACGCUGGCGGCGUGCUUAACACAUGCAAGUCGAACGGUGAAGCGCCUUCCUUUUUGGUGGGUGUGGAUGAGUGGCGAACGGGUGAGUAACACGUGAGUAACCUGCCCCCUUCUUCUGGAUAACCGCAUGAAAGUGUGGCUAAUACGGGAUAUUCUGGGUCUGUCGCAUGAUGGGUCUGGGAAAGAUAUUGUUUCGGUGGGGGAUAGGCUCGCGGCCUAUCAGCUUGUUGGUGGGGUGAUGGCCUACCAAGGCGGUGACGGGUAGCCGGCCUGAGAGGGUGGACGGUCACACUGGGACUGAGACACGGCCCAGACCCCUACGGGAGGCAGCAGUGGGGAAUAUUGCACAAUGGGCGCAAGCCUGAUGCAGCGACGCCGCGUGAGGGAUGGAGGCCUGCGGGUUGUGAACCUCUUUCGCCAGUGAAGCAGGCCUGCCUCGUUUGUGGGUGGGUUGACGGUAGCUGGAGAAGAAGCGCCGGCUAACUACGUG
Molecule: ribosomal RNA, 494 nt
Filed under: uncultured bacterium
Lineage: Bacteria
Description: partial 16S ribosomal RNA
Rfam family: Bacterial small subunit ribosomal RNA
Source: RNAcentral